UACCUGGUUGAUCCUGCCAGUAGUCAUAUGCUUGUCUCAAAGACUAAGGCAUGCAUGUCUAAGUAUAAGUAUUAUACAGCGAAACUGCGAAUGGCUCAUUAAAACAGUAAUAGUUUAUUUGACAAUCUAACUUAUAUGGAUACCCGUAGUAAUUCUAGAGCUAAUACAUGCUGGUCUCCCGACUUUUUGGAAGGGAGGUAUUUAUUAGAUAAUAACCAAUAUUCCGUAGGUCUAUCGUGGUGAAUCAUAAUAACUGAUCGAAUCGCACAGCCUCUGGCUGCGAUAAGUCAUUCAAGUUUCUGCCCCAUCAGCUUUAGAUGGUAGUGUAUUGGACUACCAUGGCGUUCACGGGUAACGGAGGAUUAGGGUUCGAUUCCGGAGAGGGAGCCUGAGAAACGGCUACCACAUCCAAGGAAGGCAGCAGCCGCGUAAAUUACCCAAUCCUGACUCAGGGAGGUAGUGACAAGAAAUAACAAGCGGUAGCCUAGCUACCGAAUUGCAAUGAGCCGAAUUUACACCACUUAGUGAGGACCAAUUGGAGGGCAAGUCUGGUGCCAGCAGCCGCGGUAAUUCCAGCUCCAAUAGC
RNAcentral lists this ribosomal RNA (586 nucleotides) under uncultured marine eukaryote. RNAcentral's name for it is "SSU rRNA". It matches the Rfam family "Eukaryotic small subunit ribosomal RNA", at positions 1 to 598 of the family's 1831-position model. The record is from RNAcentral.